GACGAACGCUGGCGGCGUGCCUAAUACAUGCAAGUCGAACGCAGUGGGGACGGGUGAGUAACACGUGGGUAACCUCCCAUCAGAGGGGAUAACACUUGGAAACAGGCGCUAAACCGACACUGAUGGAUGGACCCGCGGUGCAUUAGCUAGUUGGUGAGGUAACGGCGCACCAAGGCCACGAUUCAUGGCCGACCUGUGAGGGGUAUCGGCCACACUGGAACUGAGCCACGGCCCAGACUCCAACGGGAGGCAGCAGUGGGGAAUCUUCGGCAAUGGACGAAAGUCUGACCGAGCAAGGCCGCGUGGGUGAAGAAGGUUUUCGGAUCGUAAGACUCUGUUGUUAGGGAGGCGGUAUCUAACCAGAAAGCCACGGCUAACUACGUGCCAGCAGCCGCGGUAAUAC
Molecule: ribosomal RNA, 403 nt
Filed under: uncultured bacterium
Lineage: Bacteria
Description: partial 16S ribosomal RNA
Rfam family: Bacterial small subunit ribosomal RNA
Source: RNAcentral